This 253-nucleotide ribosomal RNA is filed under the name uncultured bacterium. RNAcentral's name for it is "partial 16S ribosomal RNA". It matches the Rfam family "Bacterial small subunit ribosomal RNA", at positions 524 to 776 of the family's 1533-position model. The record is from RNAcentral.
UACGUAGGGACCAAGCGUUGUUCGGAUUUACUGGGCGUAAAGGGCGCGUAGGCGGGAUGGCAAGUCGGUCGUGAAAUCCUUCGGCUCAACCGAAGAACGUCGAUCGAUACUGCUGUUCUUGAGGGUUGCAGAGGAGACUGGAAUUCCCGGUGUAGCGGUGAAAUGUGUAGAGAUCGGGAGGAACACCGGUGGCGAAGGCGGGUCUCUGGGCAAUUCCUGACGCUGAGGCGCGAAAGCGUGGGGAGCAAACGGG